AACGAGCAGGAGGAGGAGGGAAGGUGGGGGCGAGGCCGAGAGAGGGGAUGCGAGGAAGCUGGGAUGGGGCUGCGAUAAAGACAGAGAGAGCUGGGAGGAGGGCAGAGAAGAAAACCAGUUAGGAGCAGUGCUUUGAUUUGGAACAGGUCCCCCCGGUCAGCCACGCUGAAGCUGUCCCCGGCUUUGCAAAGAUCUAUCACGUGCACUAGCCUGUUCAGUUCCUCUAAGGCACCUCCCUUUGAAAGGAUCUUGCAAUAACUUGUGCUGGAGGAUUGGAGAGCAUGGGCUUACUUGGGCACAGCCACCUACACUCCACUGGGCACAAGAGCAUCAAGCUCAGAAAAAAUGAAUAACAAAAUGAGUUUUUAAAAUGCUGUUCCAGUUCCAUCAGAAGAAUGACAGGAUUCUAACUCAAAGCCUGAGACUCACAGACCUGUGCCUAGCAAGCCUAAGUCUUGUAUUCUCAUCGAGCCUUGAAGCAGGAGCUGCAACACUCUGACUCACAUAAAGCACGAUGGGGGAAAAGAGAUAAUGGCUAAGAUGGGCCGAGAAGCCAGAAGACUGACAACACUGUUUUGAUAUUUAUGGUGGAAUCCAUCAAGGCCAGAAGACCUUAAAUGACAACAUCCACCAGUGACAUCCCGAAACAACAUAAUGUGGGCGAUAAGGAACCAGGGUCCGAGACAUGUUGGAGUCAGGGUGUCAGAGGAAUAAUAACACCUCUGCCGGAAUCCUGAAUUUGGGCAUAGGAGCGCAUUUGAACUGACAUGUCCAGCUCAAAUUGGACUGACCUGAUGGCCUCAGAGCUGAUUGGCCCAAAGAAGCAUCAAAUCAGAAACAAAGGCAUAACCAUUCUGAGAUCCAGGAAGCCAGAGGAGUAGAUUGAGGCAGUCCGCCUUGAUUGCUUCUCUCCAACACGUGUGUUGCUUCACUUCACUCCCCAGCUACUCUGCACAUCUCUUUGCCUCGUCUCUACAAUCCACAGCACCAUUGGUAAACCCAGGAAGAUUUGAUCAAUCUGGCCAAUUGGUUGACUCCUGCAAAGUUUUGAAUUUGACUUUUCUCCUAAACUUCUCCCUCUCCCUAUUCUCCAAUCCCUCAUCCUUCUCCUCUCCCCCUCCCUUCAGAAUUGUAAUCUGACAGUUUAGGGACUUAAGCUUGCUUGCCUAACUGCUUUUCUAUGCUUUCUAGUUUCUUCAGUAAAAGUUCCCAAGACAAAUCCUGGUUUGAUCUUUGUCUCCCUACGCACUCACCCAUUGAAAGAACCACACCUGGGCGCUUUCCAGACUAGACCCUGCAAUGGGGUCACAUCCUAUCUCAGAAGUGUGCUUCCACACUUCCGACGUCAUGACACUGCAGUCCCUACACUGACAGCAGGGUGCCAUUCACAUUUCCAAUGCCUUGUUUCAAAUUUAAUCGCUGUGAUAUAGAGCUAGGACGUUGUAUAUCUGGCGUGAAAAGGUUGCUGCUUUUUCGGAUUGUUAGUUUCCGCGAGACUGCUCCCCCUGCUGUUUGCGUUUUGACUGCAACUUGCCUGAACGGGAGCAUUUUGCUGCUGUUGACCUGCUAGUCUGGACAGCACCUUAGAGAGUGACUGAACAGAGUUGGUUGAAUAUUUGCUAGUAUGUGGGAUCUAAGAAACCCCGGGCAGGGCUGGUAAGCCUUCCUAAUGAGAAUCAAGCCUGCUGGGGUCGCAGAGAGUUGAAAUAGAUCAAUUGGUGGAUCUUCCCAGAAUCAAGACAGGGCAGAACCCUCCCCUAGAGUGGAGCUUCUGAUUGUAUCAUUCUCCAGCACCUGCUCAGGAUCCACUCUUGACAAGGAGCCGAUUCUCUGUGAGACUUCCAGCCUCGCAUUUACUUUCAAAUCAGAGCACCUCUUGGGAACUGUUCCCCACACCCUCAAGAUUGGAAGCUGGUCUAGUCAAUCAGGCAGGCGAAGCCCUUCAGGUGACCCUUUCGGUUAAGAGGCAACCUCUCAUGGCAAGGAGGGCAUAAGUCCCGAGGGACUGAAAGCAAAGGCCGAGCUCACCAAACUUUUCCUCCAUAUGUGGAACUGCACCUUUGGGCAGGGCUCUGAUGCUCCCGCCUCAGCAGAUGCUUCUCCCCGGAGUGGAACUUCCAAUUCUGUAAGCAGAGAAUAAUGGAAUAGCCUGAAAAUAGAGUCUGAAAUCUUGCUGGUGGGGACUCCAGAGUGGCAGUGGCAGCACCUUUAGGUUAAUCCUCCAGAUCGUAAGAACCCAGUGGCAUGUUGGCAAGAACUGGUCUUUUAUUCCACUAUAGAAUAAUCCCACAGACUAGUAUCGGAAAAUUGGGUAGGCAAAUGCUUUGGUGAACUGGCACACACUUAAUCCCAAAGACCUCCGCUAUUGCUAAAGAAAGCAGGGCCACUGGAGCUGGUUCAAUGCCUCGCUGAUGAGGGCGCAUUGCCGCCAUCUAGUGAUGCAUUGGUGAAACUACAGUCACAGCCAUUCGAAAGGAGGGCUCACGCUGCCCAGAACAAACGGAGCUGUGCCAGUCAACCAGGGAACCCCCCCCUCAGUCUGUAACAGGUGUUUGUGUAAAGUUUGACCCAUGUUAGAUUUCUGAAAGAUAAAUAAUGGCCUAUUUUACAAUAAUGCUCUCGUCCUAAACAUGGGGAGCUACCGUAUACCAAGUCAGACCAUUGGUCAGGUAGCUCAAUAUUGUCUACACUGACUGGCAGCAGCUCAGUCAGGAAUCUCCCCCAGUUCUACCUGGAGAUACCAAGGAUUGAACCUGGAACUUUCAGGUGCUCUACCAUUGAGCUAAGACCCCAGCCUCUAAGUGGAAUACCUUACCGUGCUCACAUGUAGUCACCCAUCCAAAUGCAAACCAAGGUAGAUCCUACUUAGCAAAUGGACAUUUCAUGCUGACUACUACAAGGCCAGCACUCCUUCCUAAUGGAAGUGAGCCCACGGGGAACUGCUUUUUAUAUAUAUUGACACUUUUCAUUGAUUGAUUGAUUGAUUGAUUGAUAAUAAUUUUAAAAAGCGUGCUGAGUUAUGUUGUUAUGGGGUGGCUAGCAAAUAAAGUUUAUUAUUGAUGAUGA
Hemicordylus capensis (graceful crag lizard) is the source of this 3066-nucleotide long non-coding RNA. RefSeq lists it as uncharacterized. The transcript has 4 exons. NCBI's taxonomy places the organism in Eukaryota, Metazoa, Chordata, Lepidosauria, Squamata, Cordylidae. The record is from RefSeq and is a predicted model, not a curated record.